GAACAGGAUUAGAUACCCUGGUAGUCCAUGCCGUAAACGAUGAUUACUAAGUGUUGGAGGGUUUCCGCCCUUCAGUGCUGCAGCUAACGCAUUAAGUAAUCCGCCUGGGGAGUACGACCGCAAGGUUGAAACUCAAAAGAAUUGACGGGGGCCCGCACAAGCGGUGGAGCAUGUGGUUUAAUUCGAAGCUACGCGAAGAACCUUACCAGGUCUUGACAUCUUCUGACAGUCUAAGAGAUUAGAGGUUCCCUUCGGGGACAGAAUGACAGGUGGUGCAUGGUUGUCGUCAGCUCGUGUCGUGAGAUGUUGGGUUAAGUCCCGCAACGAGCGCAACCCUUAUUACUAGUUGCCAGCAUUAAGUUGGGCACUCUAGUGAGACUGCCGGUGACAAACCGGAGGAAGGUGGGGACGACGUCAAAUCAUCAUGCCCCUUAUGACCUGGGCUACACACGUGCUACAAUGGAUGGUACAACGAGUCGCGAAACCGCGAGGUUAAGCUAAUCUCUUAAAACCAUUCUCAGUUCGGACUGUAGGCUGCAACUCGCCUACACGAAGUCGGAAUCGCUAGUAAUCGCGGAUCAGCAUGCCGCGGUGAAUACGUUCCCGGGCCUUGUACACACCGCCCGUCACACCAUGAGAGUUUGUAACACCCAAAGCCGGUGGGGUA
This 667-nucleotide ribosomal RNA is filed under the name Pediococcus pentosaceus. RNAcentral describes it as "bacterial SSU rRNA". It matches the Rfam family "Bacterial small subunit ribosomal RNA", at positions 770 to 1437 of the family's 1533-position model. Lineage: Bacteria; Bacillati; Bacillota; Bacilli; Lactobacillales; Lactobacillaceae. The record is from RNAcentral.